This 326-nucleotide ribosomal RNA is filed under the name uncultured Pseudomonas sp. RNAcentral describes it as "bacterial SSU rRNA". It matches the Rfam family "Bacterial small subunit ribosomal RNA", at positions 1059 to 1382 of the family's 1533-position model. Lineage: Bacteria; Pseudomonadati; Pseudomonadota; Gammaproteobacteria; Pseudomonadales; Pseudomonadaceae. The record is from RNAcentral.
CUCGUGUCGUGAGAUGUUGGGUUAAGUCCCGUAACGAGCGCAACCCUUGUCCUUAGUUACCAGCACGUUAUGGUGGGCACUCUAAGGAGACUGCCGGUGGACAAACCCGGAGGAAGGUGGGGAUGACGUCAAGUCAUCAUGGCCCUUACGGCCUGGGCUACACACGUGCUACAAUGGUCGGUACAAAGGGUUGCCAAGCCGCGAGGUGGAGCUAAUCCCAUAAAACCGAUCGUAGUCCGGAUCGCAGUCUGCAACUCGACUGCGUGAAGUCGGAAUCGCUAGUAAUCGUGAAUCAGAAUGUCACGGUGAAUACGUUCCCGGGCCUU